This 1699-nucleotide long non-coding RNA is filed under the name Lynx pardinus (Iberian lynx). The record is from RNAcentral. Lineage: Eukaryota; Metazoa; Chordata; Mammalia; Carnivora; Felidae.
GUUCUGAGACCCUCAAUGCAUACCUGAAAGUGUGGUAAGUACCAAACCCUAAAUAUACUAUGUUCUUUCCUAUACCUACAUCCCUAUGAUAAAGUUUAAUUUAUAAAUUAAGCACAGUAAGGGAUUAACAAUAACUACUAAGGAAAUAGAAUUAUAAGAAUACACUAUAAUAAAAGUUAUGUGAAUGUGGUCUCUCUCUCUCUCAAACAUCUUAUUGUGCUGUACUCACCCUUCUUCUUGUGAUAAUGUGAGAUGAUAAAAUGCCUCCAUGAUGAGAUAAAGUGAGGUGAAUGACAUAGGCAUUGUGACAUUAGUGUUAGGCUACUAUUGACCUGACAGUAGGUCAGAAGGAGGAAUACCUGCUUCUGGACCAUAGUUGACCAUGGUUAGCUAAAACUGGAAAUCAACACCGCAGAUAAGGGAGGACGACGGUAUCUUCCUCAGAGUAAUACUUUGGUAAAGUAUUAGAACAGGCAAUUGAAACACUGGUUGUCCAAAUGGGGAAGGGGGAGAUAGGGGGAGGAUGCUGGUAUGACAACUAUACUUUUUUUUUCCUUUCCCAUUAUCACACUUAACUUUCUUUUUCCUACCUCAUACAGUGGUCCCUGGGCCAAGGCUGCAACUAUAUUGCUGGAAGCAGGAAUGAUUCCUAAGGAACAAAUUGUUUAAAAAUAUUUAUAUCAGAAUUCCCAAGGGCCUGAUGGGUGAGCUGUGCUUUCACUCUAUCUGGCAACAUUGGGGCUAAUGAAUCCAGUUAUAUUGCCUAUUGGUAGAAAUAUCCCACUAGUCCUGUACCUGUAUAACCCUACCCUAUAUGAAUGGGAGUAGACUGCAGGGGAGGCCUUUACUAGACUUGUAUUGUCUAGCUGAACCUAAGGUCCCUUCCAAAGGUGAAAAGGUUUGGGUAUAAAUGGAGAGGAGGAAUAGUGGCUAAGAAUAAAGGUAUGAAUAAAUGUGUUGUGCAGUGUGAAUAAAAUGUGUUUCUAAUAUUAAUGCUUGGAAAGAAGCUCAGAGCAAGAGAUAUUGUCUCUUAACUCAAUUAUAACAAAUGCCUGAAAGUGUGAAGCUGAGACCACUCCUGCUUUUGGAACUUGACAAGACCACAUGGAAUGAAGCCUGUAAACCUAAGUGCCCUCACUCUGAGAGACAUUAUGGUCAUUGUAUAUGAUGAUUAUUGGACUAAUUAUUAGAGACUGCAUAGGGAUUCUAGUAAUGUGCCAGAAUCUUUUGGCUCUUAUUUUUCAGUUUAUGUCUAUCAUAAUGUGAUAUGCUAUAACCCACUUGGAUUGUUGGGAAGAUAAUACUGAUACAGAUAACCAUACUGGGAACUUGAUCAAUAGCUCCCUAUCCUUACCCCACAUUGAUUCCUCUAAAUGUUGCUACAUUUUUUAUGCUCAGUUAGGUAUGUACCUUUGCCAUAGAAGAUCCUAUGGUCAAAGAGCAGGGGAUGGUCUGAAUAUAUCUGGUCUGAGGUGGGGUGUGUAGGGGGUGGGUGGUACAGAGCUUUCAAAAUCUUUGGAAUUUCCUGAGUGAUAGGAGCACCUUUUUUAUGCUAAUUAGGUGACUGUGUGUGUGUGUGUGUGUGUGUGUGUGUGUCUUUGUGUGUCUGUGUUAUGGAAGCUAGAUAGCUUCAGGAUGAGGACCGGUCAGCAGAAAAACCACAUAGUUAGGGGCGCCUGGGUGGCGCAGUCGGUUAAGC